CUGGUCAAAGUUACAAGUCCAUAUUUAGGUUAGAGUUUAACAAUUUAGUAAAACAUAUGACACAUGUAGAGGAAUACAAUCGUUUUUUCAAAUUAUACUUCCGUAUUUUCAGUAUAAAAAACUUACAAUGCGAGAACAAAAGAGCCUAAAAACUAUUUAUGACAAAAUUGACAAAAACUGUUCGUCGUUAACCAUAUUGAUUAGUAUUAAUUUUGAAACCACAGUCGUAUAAUAUAUUGUGUCUAUAUUAUCUGUUCAGUAACAAUGAGACAACUAUUUACAAAAGUUGAAAUGAAGUGAAUAUAAUCAUUUAUAGAAAACCGUAAUGUUUAGCAAUGAGAAAACCCCAUACCGUAAAGGGACUUUUAAAUGCUCCGACAUGAAAAAUAUGAAAUAAUUCAAUUGAGAAAACAAAUGGCCUAUUUUAUAACAAAAACAAAUAUUACAAACACGAACAAAAGAAAACCACUGAAAUAAAAGCUCCUGGCUUGGGAUAGUCAUAUAAAGAAUGUGGCGGGGUUCAACAUGUUUGUUAGUACUCAUACCUCCCCUAACCUGGGGAAGUGGUGUUAUAGCACAAAAAAAAGAACAGAUUGUAAAUAUCAGUUGCAAUUGAAAUGGUCGAUACUAAAAUGCAUCAUAAGAGUACUCUCAGUUACUGAAAGCCAGUUCAAAACCAAUUAAAUAAAUCUUGUUAUAAAAACCUAAAGUAUCAAUCAUUCCAUUUUAAAUGAUCUAGUGUAUAUAUAAAGACGUUAUAAACAGUCUGAAAACCACAUGAC
This 782-nucleotide long non-coding RNA is filed under the name Mytilus galloprovincialis (Mediterranean mussel). The record is from RNAcentral. Lineage: Eukaryota; Metazoa; Mollusca; Bivalvia; Mytilida; Mytilidae.